AACGAACGCUGGCGGCAGGCUUAACACAUGCAAGUCGAACGCCCCGCAAGGGGAGUGGCAGACGGGUGAGUAACGCGUGGGAACAUACCCUUUUCUACGGAAUAGCUCUGGGAAACCGGAAUUAAUACCGUAUACGCCCUACGGGGGAAAGAUUUAUCGGGGAAGGAUUGGCCCGCGUUGGAUUAGCUAGUUGGUGGGGUAAAGGCCUACCAAGGCGACGAUCCAUAGCUGGUCUGAGAGGAUGAUCAGCCACAUUGGGACUGAGACACGGCCCAAACUCCUACGGGAGGCAGCAGUGGGGAAUAUUGGACAAUGGGCGCAAGCCUGAUCCAGCCAUGCCGCGUGAGUGAUGAAGGCCUUAGGGUUGUAAAGCUCUUUCACCGAUGAAGAUAAUGACGGUAGUCGGAGAAGAAGCCCCGGCUAACUUCGUG
Molecule: ribosomal RNA, 431 nt
Filed under: uncultured bacterium
Lineage: Bacteria
Description: partial 16S ribosomal RNA
Rfam family: Bacterial small subunit ribosomal RNA
Source: RNAcentral